UGGGGUACAGCUCAGUGGUAGAGCACUUGCCUAGCACGCCUGAAGCCCUGGGUUCUAUCCCCAGCACCGUAA
This 72-nucleotide transfer RNA is filed under the name Heterocephalus glaber (naked mole-rat). It matches the Rfam family "tRNA". From Rfam's summary of the family: Transfer RNA (tRNA) molecules are approximately 80 nucleotides in length. Lineage: Eukaryota; Metazoa; Chordata; Mammalia; Rodentia; Bathyergidae. The record is from Rfam by way of RNAcentral.